This is a long non-coding RNA of Suricata suricatta (meerkat), 477 nucleotides long. RefSeq lists it as uncharacterized. Lineage: Eukaryota; Metazoa; Chordata; Mammalia; Carnivora; Herpestidae. The transcript is spliced from 4 exons. The record is from RefSeq and is a predicted model, not a curated record.
UCUGUGGGACUUUAGCAUGGUUAUGAAUUGUGUGGUACAGGAAAAUUAAGUGCUCGUUCAUACCUAGCUGGAGUUAAAUGAAAAUAUCAAAGUCUUGAUGGGAAGCAAAAAGAAUGGUGCCAGGAGGAAGAAAUAUAGAGACUUUGUGAAGAGGCUACUUGAGCUGCUGAAAAUCUAGAAAGCUGGCUCCAUUCUAGUUCACCUGUCAUGGCACCUCACGACAAUGAGCAGUGUGAGGUCACCAGUGUGAGGUCACCGUUUGCAGGCAGUGGACACAAAGAAACAGCAAGCAAGAUUGCAAGGACUUGACUAAGACCACACAGUGACUCAGAAGCAAGCCUGAGAAAGGAUCACAAAAGCACUGGAAGAAACUGCAAAUCUUGUUUCUACAAAGAAUGAAGAGUGAAAUUAAAUACCAACCAUUACUACAGUUUUCUUGAUAAUGUUGAAGCUGAAGAAUAAAGACUUUGGAGAAGA